UACGUAGGGUGCGAGCGUUGUCCGGAAUUAUUGGGCGUAAAGAGCUCGUAGGUGGUUUGUCGCGUUGUCCGUGAAAAACUCACAACUCAAUUGUGGGCGUGCGGGCGAUACGGGCAGACUGGAGUACUGCAGGGGAGACUGGAAUUCCUGGUGUAGCGGUGGAAUGCGCAGAUAUCAGGAGGAACACCGGUGGCGAAGGCGGGUCUCUGGGCAGUAACUGACGCUGAGGAGCGAAAGCGUGGGGAGCGAACAGG
RNAcentral lists this ribosomal RNA (254 nucleotides) under uncultured bacterium. RNAcentral's name for it is "partial 16S ribosomal RNA". It matches the Rfam family "Bacterial small subunit ribosomal RNA", at positions 524 to 776 of the family's 1533-position model. The record is from RNAcentral.